Long non-coding RNA from Oreochromis aureus, 540 nucleotides. The record is from Ensembl. NCBI's taxonomy places the organism in Eukaryota, Metazoa, Chordata, Actinopteri, Cichliformes, Cichlidae.
CACCUAUUGCUUUUUAUUUUUAGAAUGUAACUCCCGCAAUAAACGAGGGAACACUAUAUGUGUAAUAAUGUGAAAAGACACAGGGAGAAAGUAUUGUACAGGGAAGGUGCAAAAAGCCAUGGAAAUUCAUGACAUCAGCUGAAAUCUAUCAGUAAUUAGAAAGCAGUCCUGCCACUUAGUGCAAAUGAACAUCAGCUGCUUCAGUUCCAACUGAUGGCCUGUAAAUGGUGCGACAUUACCAAGGUGUUGCACAAGAAACAUCUCACGACGGUGUUGGAUCUAUAACUGGGAAGUGGGAAGACAUCAUUUCACCAUAAACUGGCUGUGACCAGAUCCUCCCAGCCAUAUUUCAGACAGAGGAGUGAAUAGAACUCUCAGUUAUCCAAGAGCCAAGGAGCACUUGUGGAGAGCUGCAGAAAUACCUGGAAUCCGCAGGUAGUGAUCAUCGUGUCUUUCAGGCUUUGGCUGAUGGGAGGAUCCAUGCCGCUUUUUUUCUGAACAAGACAAUCCAGCGUCCUUUUCACCUCAUUUUCUCACCAG